Gavia stellata (red-throated loon) is the source of this 195-nucleotide long non-coding RNA. RefSeq lists it as uncharacterized. The record is from RefSeq and is a predicted model, not a curated record. NCBI's taxonomy places the organism in Eukaryota, Metazoa, Chordata, Aves, Gaviiformes, Gaviidae. The transcript is spliced from 3 exons.
CGGGCCUGACGCCGCGGCUGUCGCCGGAGGCCUCGGAGAAUGACUGUUUUGUAUGGACACUGGCCAUUGAUGUGGCUUUUGUCCUUGACAGCUGAUACUGGAGCCUGCUCUGUGCCUUCUGAGCUGACUCGUCAGUCUUCUGCAGGUGUAUUUUAAAGAGAAGCUAGCAAACGACAGGCUCCAGGGAGCAGUGUU